This 923-nucleotide ribosomal RNA is filed under the name uncultured bacterium. RNAcentral describes it as "bacterial SSU rRNA". It matches the Rfam family "Bacterial small subunit ribosomal RNA", at positions 544 to 1463 of the family's 1533-position model. The record is from RNAcentral.
UCCGGAUUUAUUGGGCGUAAAGAGCUUGUAGGUGGUUUNUCGCGCCGGGAGUGAAAACUCAGGGCUUAANUCUGAGCUUGCUUUCGAUACGGGCUGACUUGAGGGAGGUAGGGGAGAAUGGAAUUCCUGGUGGAGCGGUGGAAUGCGCAGAUAUCAGGAGGNACACCGGUGGCGAAGGCGGUUCUCUGGACCCUUCCUGACGCUGAGAAGCGAAAGCGUGGGGAGCGAACAGGCUUAGAUACCCUGGUAGUCCACGCUGUAAACGGUGGGUACUAGGUGUGGGGGACAUUCCACGUUCUCCGUGCCGUAGCUAACGCAUUAAGUACCCCGCCUGGGGAGUACGGCCGCAAGGCUAAAACUCAAAGGAAUUGACGGGGCCCCGCACAAGCGGCGGAGCAUGCGGAUUAAUUCGAUGCAACGCGAAGAACCUUACCUGGGUUUGACAUAUGCCGGAAGCGUUCAGAGAUGGGCGUGCCUUUUUGGUCGGUUUACAGGUGGUGCGUGGCUGUCGUCAGCUCGUGUCGUGAGAUGUUGGGUUAAGUCCCGCAACGAGCGCAACCCUCGUCCAAUGUUGCCAGCGGGUUAUGCCGGGGACUCAUUGGAGACCGCCGGGGUCAACUCGGAGGAAGGUGGGGAUGACGUCAAGUCAUCAUGCCCCUUAUGUCCAGGGCUUCACGCAUGCUACAAUGGCCGGUACAGUGAGCUGCGAGCCUGUGAGGGUGAGCGAAUCUCUAAAAGCCGGUCUCAGUUCGGAUUGGGGUCUGCAACUCGACCCCAUGAAGUCGGAGUCGCUAGUAAUCGCAGAUCAGCAACGCUGCGGUGAAUACGUUCCCGGGGCUUGUACACACCGCCCGUCAAGUCAUGAAAGUCGGUAACACCCGAAGCCGGUGGCCUAACCCGUUUGGGAGGGAGCUGUCGAAGGU